CUGCCCGCCGCAGUAGGACAAAAAGACCCCGUGGAGCUUUACUGCAGCUUGCCAUUGCGUUAGGACGCAGUCUGUGUAGGAUAGCUGGGAGGCUUGGAACCUGGAGCGCUAGCUUCGGGGGAGCCGACGGUGAAAUACCAGCCUGAGUGCGUUUUGACCCUAACCCGUGCCCUAAACUGGCAGGGAGACAGUGGCAGGUGGGCAGUUUGACUGGGGCGGUCGCCUCCUAAAGAGUACCGGAGGCGCCCAAAGGUUCCCUCAGGUGGAAUGGAAACCCACCUUCGAGUGUACAGGCAUAAGGGAGCUUGACUGCAAGACAAACACGUCGAGCAGAGACGAAAGUCGGGCUGAGUGAUCCCACGAUACCGUGUGGAAGGGUCGUGGCUUAACGGACAAAAGCUACCCCGGGGAUAACAGGCUGGUGAAGUCCAAGAGUUCACAUCGACGACUUCGCUCGGCACCUCGAUGUCGGCUCAUCGCAUCCUGGGGCUGGAUAAGGUCCCAAGGGUUGGGCUGUUCGC
Molecule: ribosomal RNA, 521 nt
Filed under: Anaerolinea sp.
Lineage: Bacteria; Bacillati; Chloroflexota; Anaerolineae; Anaerolineales; Anaerolineaceae
Description: partial 23S ribosomal RNA
Rfam family: Bacterial large subunit ribosomal RNA
Source: RNAcentral